AGAUCUUCACCUGUUCAACAAUUCUACCCCAUGUCAGAUUUGCUCUAAAUGAUUUGGUUUUUGAGUUAUAAGCCAAAAACUGCAUUUUACCCCUAUGUUCUAUUUUUAGCCAUGGCGGCCAUCUUGGAUGGUUGGCCGGGUCACCGGACACAUUUUUUAAACUAGAUACCCCAAUGAUGAUUGUGGCCAAGUUUGCUUUAAUUUGGC
RNAcentral lists this long non-coding RNA (207 nucleotides) under Mytilus galloprovincialis (Mediterranean mussel). Lineage: Eukaryota; Metazoa; Mollusca; Bivalvia; Mytilida; Mytilidae. The record is from RNAcentral.